AAGUCGUAACAAGGUUUCCGUAGCGGAAGGAUCAUUAACACGUAUCCAACGUUAAACAACCCUGUGAACUUUAAGUCCCCUCUUGAGGAACAGCAAUCCCGGUUGCCAAACAGUUUUGAUUCGGGACCUCUGUCCAAAAGGAGUUGCAAUCGAAGGGUGGAAGCAGUGGCAUGGCUUCCCCAAGCAGUUAGUGAAUGACAGUGUCACUGACUGUGUAAGGAUAACGCCUCACGGUUGCUAGAGGUCGAUCACCGACCGGCAGACAUGUCACAGGGUCACCGCCCCGCCUAGUGGUAACGCGCUAGGUAAAAAAAACCGAACAACUGUUAACAAUGGAUAUCUUGGUUCUC
RNAcentral lists this unclassified non-coding RNA (350 nucleotides) under fungal sp. RNAcentral describes it as "partial internal transcribed spacer region". The record is from RNAcentral. Lineage: Eukaryota; Fungi.